RNAcentral lists this ribosomal RNA (475 nucleotides) under uncultured bacterium. Its description in RNAcentral is "bacterial SSU rRNA". It matches the Rfam family "Bacterial small subunit ribosomal RNA", at positions 335 to 799 of the family's 1533-position model. The record is from RNAcentral.
ACUCCUACGGGAGGCAGCAGUGGGGAAUAUUGCACAAUGGGGGAAACCCUGAUGCAGCCAUGCCGCGUGUGUGAAGAAGGCCUUCGGGUUGUAAAGCACUUUCAGUAGGGAGGAAGGUAGUGUAGUUAACACCUGCAUUAUUUGACGUUACCUACAGAAGAAGCACCGGCUAACUCCGUGCCAGCAGCCGCGGUAAUACGGAGGGUGCGAGCGUUAUCCGGAUUUAUUGGGUUUAAAGGGUCCGUAGGCGGGUUAAUAAGUCAGUGGUGAAAUCCCAUCGCUUAACGAUGGAACUGCCAUUGAUACUGUUAGUCUUGAAUGAGGGUGCAGUGGUUGGAAUGUGUAGUGUAGCGGUGAAAUGCAUAGAUAUUACACAGAACACCGAUUGCGAAGGCAGAUCACUAACCCUAAAUUGACGCUGAGGGACGAAAGCGUGGGGGAGCAAACAGGAUUAGAUACCCUGGUAGCGACUGAU